GGGGUUGUGCCUCAGUGGUAGAGUGCUCACCUAGCACAUGUGAGGCACUGGGUUCAAUCCUCAGCACCACA
RNAcentral lists this transfer RNA (71 nucleotides) under Marmota monax (woodchuck). RNAcentral describes it as "tRNA.Ala". The record is from RNAcentral. Lineage: Eukaryota; Metazoa; Chordata; Mammalia; Rodentia; Sciuridae.